AUGUUUCCAUUGUUUGGUUCCGGAAUGACCUCCGUGUUCAUGAUAACGAGUCUCUCAACACAGCCAAUAACGAGUUACUCUCCGUUUUGCCGGUUUACUGUUUCGACCCUGCGGAUUACGGCGAGAGGGUCGGAUCUAGUGGUGAGAGUUGGGAAGCCAGAUGCUGUUUUGGUUGAAUUGGCUAAGGAAGUUGGGGCGGAUGCGGUUUAUGCUCACAGAGAGGUUUCUCAUGAGGAGGUGAAGAUGGAGGAGAAGAUUGACCUGUGA
This is a non-coding RNA of Vicia faba (fava bean), 267 nucleotides long. The record is from the annotation of a GenBank genome assembly. NCBI's taxonomy places the organism in Eukaryota, Viridiplantae, Streptophyta, Magnoliopsida, Fabales, Fabaceae.